GACGAACGCUGGCGGCGUGCUUAAUACAUGCAAGUCAACGAUUUUUAAGAUAGCAAUAUUUUAAAAAUAGUGGCGCACGGGUGAGUAACACGUAGAUAAUCUGCCUUUAGGUCUGACAUAACUCGUCGAAGACGGGCUAAUAUCAGAUAAAACAAUAACUUAGGCAUCAAGUAAUUGUCAAAGCUUCGGCGCCAAGAUGAGUCUGCGGACCAUUAGGUAGUUGGUGGAUUAACGAGCCCACCAAGCCAACGAUGGAUAGCUGGUCUGAGAGGAUGAUCAGCCACACUGGAACUGAGACACGGUCCAGACUCCUACGGGAGGCAGCAGUAAGGAAUAUUGCUCAAUGGGAGAAAUCCUGAAGCAG
This 364-nucleotide ribosomal RNA is filed under the name uncultured bacterium. RNAcentral describes it as "bacterial SSU rRNA". It matches the Rfam family "Bacterial small subunit ribosomal RNA", at positions 28 to 391 of the family's 1533-position model. The record is from RNAcentral.